UGGUGGAGUGAUUUGUCUGGUUAAUUCCGUUAACGAACGAGACCUUAACCUGCUAAAUAGUUUCAUGUAACUUCGGUUAUGUGGGUAACUUCUUAGAGGGGACUUUGCGUGUUUAACGCAAGGAAGUUUGAGGCAAUAACA
RNAcentral lists this ribosomal RNA (141 nucleotides) under uncultured eukaryote. RNAcentral describes it as "partial 18S ribosomal RNA". It matches the Rfam family "Eukaryotic small subunit ribosomal RNA", at positions 1299 to 1458 of the family's 1831-position model. The record is from RNAcentral.